RNAcentral lists this unclassified non-coding RNA (1456 nucleotides) under Hevea brasiliensis (rubber tree). The record is from RNAcentral. Lineage: Eukaryota; Viridiplantae; Streptophyta; Magnoliopsida; Malpighiales; Euphorbiaceae.
CCUCUUCUCAUUAUUAAAAAAUAAUGUCUCUAUUACAAGCCAAAGGAAAUAACAUAGAAUGCUUCUAAUUGGACUAAUUGUCAUUGUAUCUGACAGCAAUUUGUCAAUGUCUAAUUCACCAAUCAUCUCAACCAACUCUAAUUUGCUCUUUCUUUCCUCCUCUCUGGAUGAUAGAUUCCUAUUUGUAAUUACAUUUCUAGGAAGCAAGUUUCAUGUCCUGAGAGGGAGAGAUAGAGAGGUUGCCAAUGAUUAUAAUCCAAAUUCUAUUCGAAGCAAAAUAAAAAUAACACAUCCACAUUGAAAGAAAUUUGACCAUACUUAAAUUAUUUCUGGAUGUUAAUUUAGAUUUCAGAACUAAUUAUAAUGGGACUCAUACUUGACUCUGUCAGUUGAGUAAUAAGCCUUUAACUGCUGCAUUAAGCCAAGCUAGGCAUCCAUCUUAAUAGUUGUUGCAAUGAAAUUUGAUGAACUAUCACUUUCAACUAAAGAAAAAAAGUCCCUUUACCCAAGCACAAAGCCAAAUAAGCUUAUGAAAAUUUGAACUCACUAAGCAGACAUGAUGCAUCAACAGUGCAGUUCCUCAUAAUAAAAGUUUUAAAAGGAAUGAAUUAGACAUGAAGAGGAAUGCACAAACACAAUUGCUAAGCUUAUGAAAACACUGAUGCUGGAGAAAGAACAUAAACACACAAGAAUACAUGCAAAUCAGUUUAAUGAAACAACCUACAACUUUAGUUAUUAAACCAAAUGGAGCAAGACAAAUAAAUAUAUAUAUAUAAGAAUGGAACUUUACAAAUGAUUAAUUAUGUCUGUCGGUGAAACAUUGGAUCCAAUAAUCAUUUCCCAUUAGUCCAUUGCCCAAACCAAAAUAAAUAAACAAACAAAAGGAGUUGUACUAUUAAGACUCUUACCAUCAGAUAUAGCCCCAUGAAAAGGCACUAGGAAGAAUGAAAGAGACAAAACCUAAGGCUAAACAAGAAAAGGGUUAAGAAACAUUCUCCAGCAGCAACAACAUGGGUUCUCACUUCUCACCCAAGAGAAUGAAACAUCAAGGGAGUGUCCUUUCUAGAUGUUGCAAACUAAUUGAAUGCUGUAAAGAGAAGCCAGUGGAUCUUUCCAUGACAGGAAUAGGUUAAUGAAAAACCAGAAUGAACAGACUUUUGCCGGGCUAAAACCUGUUUUAAGGUUCUGUUUGCAGGAAUACUGUAGCAAAACCUAAUCUCUUCGCCUCUAUGGUAUAACCAUGACAAAAGAAGAAAGGAAGGUGUACCAAAAAUGUGAUAGUGAAAAAAAAUGUAUUUAUACAAUGUAAAUUGUGGCUAAGGACCUACUGGGGCUAGUAACAGCCUCCACCACAAGUACUUUGUUGCAUCAAGAUUUUCAAGUCUCGUAAACAUGCACACACAGAGAGAUGCGUGUCCAUCGGACGAGAGAAAAAAAAAAAGAGAAUAACAACAAA